CAGAAUGCUUAUGAGGGCGCCUAAUAUCUCCCAAAGGAUACUGGAGCUGCCUCUCCCAGCGUCAGCUCAGGUGGACAUUCUGGAGGAGAAUCAGUUGAUUAAGUUUACAGCAAAAACCCAAGCUGCGGAUGGAAACAUUACAAUUCAAACUGAAACAAUACAAACAGUUCCAGUAUCAUCUUUAAUGACACAACGGAGCUCGAAAGGUGGAGGUGUGGACUGCCCAUGUCAGCUCAGCUAGAGCAGACAACUGCGUGGAUUAAAGACGGGAAGCUCUUUGUUAAGGUUCCCAAUGAUAAAGGAUUAUUUCCAUUAACAAACACCGACAGUCGUAUAAUGGGGUCGAAUACCGGAAAAUAAUGUGUGUGUGUGAGAUUCUUGUAAAACAACAACAUAUGCAUUGAUUGCUCUAUCUCAAUAAAUGAUUAAUUGAUUA
Molecule: long non-coding RNA, 436 nt
Organism: Salvia hispanica
Lineage: Eukaryota; Viridiplantae; Streptophyta; Magnoliopsida; Lamiales; Lamiaceae
Source: RefSeq, a predicted model, not a curated record